RNAcentral lists this small RNA (201 nucleotides) under Thermococcus gammatolerans EJ3. RNAcentral's name for it is "Non coding HgcF RNA". Lineage: Archaea; Methanobacteriati; Methanobacteriota; Thermococci; Thermococcales; Thermococcaceae. The record is from RNAcentral.
ACCGCUCGCACGGGUGGAUGCUCCCGGCCCUGUGGGCUCGGCGUGAGCACGCUCCGUUCAUCGAACCCGAGCACCUCACGGAGGCGGGUAGACCGAGCCCGUGCGAGGGGUAUUGUCCCCCCGCUGUCGGCGAUAGUGAUUACCAGCCGGGGGUUUAAAAGAUUGUGGGCUCCUCAAUUGGCAGCUCGCUGCUCUCCUUGU